AUGCUUCUAAUGUCGGGUCUUCCUUCAGUUGGAGAUCCAUACGAGGAAUAUGUUCCUUCUAUAGAUGACCUAGAACCUUCAAAGCUUAUGUUCCCAAAUUUCUUAUCUGGUCUUUUAGAAGAAUUCUACCGGCUCAGCCGCGAAAAUGGGAGUGUGACUUUUCAAGUUUGGUGUGACCAUUUCCAUAACAAACGCGAACGCACUUCGUCUUUCACCUCCCUUCGGGAACAACACAUGUAUAUUGCGGCUUUUAUAGCCAACUGGCUUUGCUCUUAUGUGGUUGUUGGUGGGGGGCCUUAUAUUCGUCCCGGUGUCCUUCUUAUGGCCUCUUGGAUCGUCUCGGGUCGCAAGAUCUCUUUGGCCCCCUCAGCACUUUGUUCAUUGUAUUAUUCUCUUCGAAGGAUCACUAUGCACCCCAUUGCUCCCUCCUAUGAGAAAAUAAUUUGGCCAGUGCAUUAUAUCGCGGGGUGGAUGGGUCUUUAUCUGAGAAAACCAUUUAAGGACAAAGUGAAAGGGAAACAUCUUCCAGAUGUUAAGAAACUGCCGAUGCAUCCAACCAUGGUUAAAACUAUGUUUCGGGUUCCCAUAACUUUCAGUCCUGCUAAGGCACGCAUUUUCCUUGAUGACCGAGCCAAUAUUUUUUGGAAUCCUUAUGCUCCAAAGAACUUAGUCGGGAUGGAUCAGUUGCAAAGGUCCUUCACCAUUUCUUCACAUCGGGGUAUGCUUCCAUGGAGGCGUGCUACUGAUGUUGAUGAUCUUUGCAUAGCGGAGCCAUAUCAUCCUGAUCGAGUUGCACGACAACUUACUUUGAGACAACAAGUGCCCUAUGCUCCGCUGGUCAGUGUGUACACAAAGGCGGAUAUUGGAGUUGCAUAUGCGUAUUGGUCGCAUUUGUUACGCUCGGACCAAGGGGAGUUCCAGUACCUUCUUAACGAUGCGCAUGAGGCAUUUUCUUCUGUGGCCUGGAACAAAUGGUGGGUGGGAUUUAUGAGACCAUUUAACAACAUAUUCAAUACUCUUCGUUCGGGCAUCUCGAAUGGUCCGAAUUAUAAUCCGCAGAAAUGUAAUUUUCUGAAACGCAGGGAGGAGUACAUAGUUCCUCGCAAGCUUUCAGAGAAUGAUUUUGUUGUUAUAAAGGAAGUCUCCACCAGGGGUAAGGAGGAACAUAUUGCAGCCAUCAAAUUGAAUGGAAAGAGAAUUAUGGACCACUGGCAUCCCAUUCUGUGUGGCUUUCUCUCAAAUGAUGAACCUUUAAUCAACUCUAAAAAGAAGAAGCGAAAGGUUAAGGAUGUUGUUGCUACUCAACCCAUGAAAUCUAGAGAGNNNNNNNNNNNNNNNGUACCAAAGUAUGUUGUUGCAGUUGGUUCUUCCUCUGCUCAUCCAUUGCUAGUGUGUAGUGAUUAUCUUCCGGAAACUGCCCUGGCCACCGGCGGACAAAAGCGUAGAAAUUUAUCGCCCACUCAUGCUGACGAGGAAGAGAGGCUCCCCUUCAAGCGCAAACUUGAUUUUUCCCAAGAAAAUGAUUUUUCUGAACCAAUAACCUUGGACUGUCCGUCAAUAGAUGUUGAACUUAGUAGCUUUGUUAGUGAUGAAGAUUUUGGCCAUGUUCUCACGGGAGAAAAGGACAAUGGCCUUGGUGACCUUUUCGAUUUAUCCGUCGAGGAUAAUACCUUUGGCGAGUGUGGCACAAGUCGUCCACCUUCCAGCCCGGGUUGUGACCAAGAAAUUCGCCACUCACAAGACCCUGAGGUGAUGGUUGUAUCAGGGAAAGGCGCAAAGAUGGUGCAGUUUCAUCAAGGACACGUUUAUGGAUGCUACGGAUUUCAUAGUGAAACGAGCCCUCGAAGGACUGAACGACUCUACCCUUGGUGA
RNAcentral lists this ribosomal RNA (1872 nucleotides) under Triticum aestivum (bread wheat). RNAcentral's name for it is "partial small subunit ribosomal RNA". The record is from RNAcentral. Lineage: Eukaryota; Viridiplantae; Streptophyta; Magnoliopsida; Poales; Poaceae.